AUCUAGUGGUUGAGUAAUGCUAAUCUACCAUCUAAGAGAUGAGACGAAGAGCUUGGGAAACGUAAACAAUCACUACCUACAAAACUCCCCAGAGAGCUACUAGUGUCAAGAAGUGUCCGGCUGGCCGUUUUUCAUGGUUCUUGUCGGCAGGCCAAUCAAAACAUGUUUAGGCUAGGCGCAAGAUACGAGGAAAUAUUCUCCAGAGGACAAGCGA
Molecule: non-coding RNA, 214 nt
Organism: Caenorhabditis elegans
Lineage: Eukaryota; Metazoa; Nematoda; Chromadorea; Rhabditida; Rhabditidae
Source: Ensembl